GGAACACCAAUAGCAGUCUUGGAGCCUCUGGGCCAGAGGAACUGGGGCCUCCACCGACACCUGCUUGAGAAGAGGAGCCAAAACAUCAUAGUUGAACCGUCCUGGAAUAGAAACUCGCCCUGAAUUCUUUCUUGUGUGAAAUCCAAGAACCCUCUCUUGGGGUCUGGAUCGGGACCCUGUUCCUGUAACAAGUCCACAAUGCCAGAGAAUUAAAGAGAACCACAAAGUUUCUGCCAUUUCAGUUCCUGUUAUCAUGCUUCCAGGUGCACUGAACUGCAGCAAACCCAGGGGAUCCAAGGCUAUGUUGAAAAGCCUUUGACCGCAGUGCAGGGAGCAGAAGACAUUAAUGACGUGAUGUUGACGCAGCCCGCACUCAGGAUCCUCCAGAAAAAGAACACAGAGAUAACCCCAGAUCGAUGGUACUUUUUGAAAAUGCCUUACUGCAAAAGAGUGGCUAGGGUUUUACAAGGGCUGUGAAGAAACAUAUUAAGGUUAAUAAAGCUUUUUAUUGAGUGUUUA
Molecule: non-coding RNA, 519 nt
Filed under: Pongo abelii (Sumatran orangutan)
Lineage: Eukaryota; Metazoa; Chordata; Mammalia; Primates; Hominidae
Source: RNAcentral